Molecule: ribosomal RNA, 496 nt
Filed under: uncultured bacterium
Lineage: Bacteria
Description: partial 16S ribosomal RNA
Rfam family: Bacterial small subunit ribosomal RNA
Source: RNAcentral
GAUGAACGCUGGCGGCGUGCCUAAUACAUGCAAGUCGAGCGAACGGACGAGAAGCUUGCUUCUCUGAUGUUAGCGGCGGACGGGUGAGUAACACGUGGAUAACCUACCUAUAAGACUGGGAUAACUUCGGGAAACCGGAGCUAAUACCGGAUGAUAUUUUGAACCGCAUGGUUCAAAAGUGAAAGACGGUCUUGCUGUCACUUAUAGAUGGAUCCGCGCUGCAUUAGCUUGUUGGUAAGGUAACGGCUUACCAAGGCAACGAUGCAUAGCCGACCUGAGAGGGUGAUCGGCCACACUGGAACUGAGACACGGUCCAGACUCCUACGGGAGGCAGCAGUAGGGAAUCUUCCGCAAUGGGCGAAAGCCUGACGGAGCAACGCCGCGUGAGUGAUGAAGGUCUUCGGAUCGUAAAACUCUGUUAUUAGGGAAGAACAUAUGUGUAAGUAACUGUGCACAUCUUGACGGUACCUAAUCAGAAAGCCACGGCUAACUACGU